GACGAACGCUGGCGGCGUGCCUAAUACAUGCAAGUCGAACGCACAGUUUAUACCGUAGCUUGCUACACCAUAGACUGUGAGUUGCGAACGGGUGAGUAACGCGUAGGUAACCUGCCUGGUAGCGGGGGAUAACUAUUGGAAACGAUAGCUAAUACCGCAUAAUAUUGAUUAUUGCAUGAUAAUUGAUUGAAAGAUGCUAUUGCAUCACUACCAGAUGGACCUGCGUUGUAUUAGCUAGUAGGUGAGGUAACGGCUCACCUAGGCGACGAUACAUAGCCGACCUGAGAGGGUGAUCGGCCACACUGGGACUGAGACACGGCCCAGACUCCUACGGGAGGCAGCAGUAGGGAAUCUUCGGCAAUGGACGAAAGUCUGACCGAGCAACGCCGCGUGAGUGAAGAAGGUUGUCGGAUCGUAAAGCUCUGUUGUAAGAGAAGAACGGGUGUGAGAGUGGAAAGUUCACACUGUGACGGUAUCUUACCAGAAAGGGACGGCUAACUACGUG
Molecule: ribosomal RNA, 505 nt
Filed under: uncultured bacterium
Lineage: Bacteria
Description: partial 16S ribosomal RNA
Rfam family: Bacterial small subunit ribosomal RNA
Source: RNAcentral